RNAcentral lists this ribosomal RNA (264 nucleotides) under uncultured bacterium. RNAcentral describes it as "partial 16S ribosomal RNA". It matches the Rfam family "Bacterial small subunit ribosomal RNA", at positions 793 to 1055 of the family's 1533-position model. The record is from RNAcentral.
GUCCACGCCCUAAACGAUGUCAACUGGUUGUCGGGGAAGUUAUUCCUUGGUAACGAAGCUAACGCGUGAAGUUGACCGCCUGGGGAGUACGGCCGCAAGGUUAAAACUCAAAGGAAUUGACGGGUACCCGCACAAGCGGUGGAUUAUGUGGAUUAAUUCGAUGCAACGCGAAAAACCUUACCUACCCUUGACAUGCUAGGAAGCUCGCAGAGAUGUGAGUGUGCCCGAAAGGGAACCUAGACACAGGUGCUGCAUGGCUGUCGU